This 427-nucleotide ribosomal RNA is filed under the name uncultured bacterium. RNAcentral describes it as "partial 16S ribosomal RNA". It matches the Rfam family "Bacterial small subunit ribosomal RNA", at positions 355 to 774 of the family's 1533-position model. The record is from RNAcentral.
UGGGGAAUAUUGCACAAUGGGCGCAAGCCUGAUGCAGCCAUGCCGCGUGUAUGAAGAAGGCCUUCGGGUUGUAAAGUACUUUCAGCGGGGAGGAAGGUGUUGAGGCUAAUAACCUCAGCAAUUGACGUUACCCGCAGAAGAAGCACCGGCUAACUCCGUGCCAGCAGCCGCGGUAAUACGGAGGGUGCAAGCGUUAAUCGGAAUUACUGGGCGUAAAGCGCACGCAGGCGGUCUGUCAAGUCGGAUGUGAAAUCCCCGGGCUCAACCUGGGAACUGCAUUCGAAACUGGCAGGCUAGAGUCUUGUGGAGGGGGGUAGAAUUCCAGGUGUAGCGGUGAAAUGCGUAGAGAUCUGGAGGAAUACCGGUGGCGAAGGCGGCCCCCUGGACAAAGACUGACGCUCAGGUGCGAAAGCGUGGGGAGCAAACA